Molecule: ribosomal RNA, 1346 nt
Filed under: uncultured bacterium
Lineage: Bacteria
Description: bacterial SSU rRNA
Rfam family: Bacterial small subunit ribosomal RNA
Source: RNAcentral
GACGAACGCUGGCGGCGUGCUUAACACAUGCAAGUCGAACGGAAAGGCCCUGCUUUUGUGGGGUGCUCGAGUGGCGAACGAGUGAGUAACACGUGAGUAACCUGCCCUUGACUUUGGGAUAACUUCAGGAAACUGGGGCUAAUACCGGAUAGGAGCUCCUGCUGCAUGGUGGGGGUUGGAAAGUUUCGGCGGUUGGGGAUGGACUCGCGGCUUAUCAGCUUGUUGGUGGGGUAGUGGCUUACCAAGGCUUUGACGGGUAGCCGGCCUGAGAGGGUGACCGGCCACAUUGGGACUGAGAUACGGCCCAGACUCCUACGGGAGGCAGCAGUGGGGAAUAUUGCACAAUGGGCGGAAGCCUGAUGCAGCAACGCCGCGUGCGGGAUGACGGCCUUCGGGUUGUAAACCGCUUUCGCCUGUGACGAAGCGUGAGUGACGGUAAUGGGUAAAGAAGCACCGGCUAACUACGUGCCAGCAGCCGCGGUGAUACGUAGGGUGCGAGCGUUGUCCGGAUUUAUUGGGCGUAAAGGGCUCGUAGGUGGUUGAUCGCGUCGGAAGUGUAAUCUUGGGGCUUAACCCUGAGCGUGCUUUCGAUACGGGUUGACUUGAGGAAGGUAGGGGAGAAUGGAAUUCCUGGUGGAGCGGUGGAAUGCGCAGAUAUCAGGAGGAACACCAGUGGCGAAGGCGGUUCUCUGGGCCUUUCCUGACGCUGAGGAGCGAAAGCGUGGGGAGCGAACAGGCUUAGAUACCCUGGUAGUCCACGCUGUAAACGGUGGGUACUAGGUGUGGGGUCCAUUCCACGGGUUCCGUGCCGUAGCUAACGCUUUAAGUACCCCGCCUGGGGAGUACGGCCGCAAGGCUAAAACUCAAAGGAAUUGACGGGGCCCCGCACAAGCGGCGGAGCAUGCGGAUUAAUUCGAUGCAACGCGUAGAACCUUACCUGGGUUUGACAUGGAUCGGGAGCACUCAGAGAUGGGUGUGCCUCUUUUGGGGUCGGUUCACAGGUGGUGCAUGGCUGUCGUCAGCUCGUGUCGUGAGAUGUUGGGUUAAGUCCCGCAACGAGCGCAACCCUUGUUCACUGUUGCCAGCACGUUAUGGUGGGGACUCAGUGGAGACCGCCGGGGUCAACUCGGAGGAAGGUGGGGAUGACGCCAAGUCAUCAUGCCCCUUAUGUCCAGGGCUUCGCGCAUGCUACAAUGGCUGGUACAGAGAGUGGCGAGCCUGUGAGGGUGAGCGAAUCUCGGAAAGCCGGUCUCAGUUCGGAUUGGGGUCUGCAACUCGACCUCAUGAAGUCGGAGUCGCUAGUAAUCGCAGAUCAGCAACGCUGCGGUGAAUACGUUCCCGGGGCU